Molecule: long non-coding RNA, 1353 nt
Filed under: Gadus morhua (Atlantic cod)
Lineage: Eukaryota; Metazoa; Chordata; Actinopteri; Gadiformes; Gadidae
Description: lncRNA (ENSGMOG00000026518.1)
Source: RNAcentral
AUGGAACCAACAGCGGUAGAGAUUUUGAGUAGAGACCGUCUAUUGCUCAAAGGUGAGAUGAUAAAGAUCUCUGAGAAAUGGGAAGAAAGGACAGAAGGAUCAGGCACUAUAUGGCCCAUGGGAGGGACUUUUGAUCCAAUAAUGUAUAGGGACAUGGAGGUAGUAUUAAGGAAUUACAUAGAUAACAGAAGUGGAAAAACGGCCUUAGCAAAGAGGGACAGGGAAAAGUUAGUACUAGCUUUGUUCUUAGAGGAAGGAGAGAGAUGGCGAACAUUACAGAGAGUGGCGGGAGAAAUAAUAGCUAAUAACAACAAGGCUCAACCAUUGCCUCUGAAAGUUGAGCCACCGCUGCACAAACUAGUAUCAAUGCACCCAUUGCUAAAAGGCAACGUAGAAUCGAAAGGGGAAGUCACACUAGAUGAAGGAGUUAAUAAAUGUAACACACAGGAGAGGAGGGGUGCACCCAUACACAUGGACUGUUAUGAGGGGAUUAGGAAAGAAAGGGAAGAGUGUAAUAAUGCUGACAUUUGUUCUAGUGAGGGAGAAAACGAGAAUGAAGAAGAGGAGAAGGAUGACAUUGAGCAUGUUGGUGAAGGGUCAUCACAACAAUAUGUAAAACACAUUACUAAGAAUGCUAAGAGGAGAAUAAAGAAGUGGAACGAAAGAGAGGAGGAGUGGUCUAGUGGGACACAAGGGGCAGAGGAGCCUGGCUGCAGUACAUCAGUACUAAGCCCCACACCACUCGAGUUAGAUAAGAAACUAAGGAAAUCACAAAGGGGGAAAAGGGCACCCGAAACUUCCCCGGGAAACUAUCCUAUUCUAGUCAAAGGACAACAGGUCCAUUUUCAACCAUGGGGUUCACAGGACUUAGAGGGAGUCAUUUCUAAACUCCCUAACAUAAUUAACGGGGCGUCCAAAUGGAUUAGAACAUUUGAGGAGCUCACAGUGGGAAAGCUAAUUGCAGUGGGGGACCUGAAAGCUCUGUUGGCAAGAGUGUUGGGGUUAUCCAAGAUGGAGUUUGUACUGAGGAAUGGAGGGUUGAAUAUACUGGAUGGAAAGUAUGAUGAGACUACACUUGAUCAUUACAGAGGGGCGAUGUGGGCCACACUCAGGAGGGAGUUCCCGGUCCGCAUGGAUCCUAAAAACAUGAGAGGUCUCCCUAUUGGUGACACAGAGAACCCUGCAUCCUUCCUGCAGGCCCAAGUAGACAGAUGGCGCAUGGAGACGGAUGAGGAUCCUGAGAUCCAUUCGGUGUUCUCUGUCAUGUUUAGAAACUGUGAUAGAGACACUACCCAGCCAAAUCAAAGCCAAGCUAGAGGAUGUGGUUGGACUGUUUACAUCAGGAUCUCAUAG